GGCUCAGAGCGAACGCUGGCGGCAGGCCUAACACAUGCAAGUCGAGCGGGCACCUUCGGGUGUCAGCGGCAGACGGGAGAGUAACACGUGGGAACGUGCCCUUUGGUUCGGAACAACCCAGGGAAACUUGGGCUAAUACCGGAUAAGCCCUUACGGGGAAAGAUUUAUCGCCGAAGGAUCGGCCCGCGUCUGAUUAGCUAGUUGGUGAGGUAAUGGCUCACCAAGGCGACGAUCAGUAGCUGGUCUGAGAGGAUGAUCAGCCUCACUGGGACUGAGACACGGCUCAGACUCCUACGGGAGGCAGCAGUGGGGAAUAUUGGACAAUGGGCGCAAGCCUGAUCCAGCCAUGCCGCGUGGGUGAUGAAGGCCCUAGGGUUGUAAAGCCCUUUCGGCGGGGAAGAUAAUGACGGUACCCGCAGAAGAAGCCCCGGCUAACUUCGUGCCAGCAGCCACGGUAAUACGAAGGGGGCUAGCGUUGCUCGGAAUCACUGGGCGUAAAGCGCACGUAGGCGGAUUGUUAAGUCAGGGGUGAAAUCCUGGAGCUCAACUCCAGAACUGCCCUUGAUACUGACGGUCUCGAGUCCGGGAGAGGUGAGUGGAACUGCGAGUGUAGAGGUGAAAUUCGUAGAUAUUCGCAAGAACACCAGUGGCGAAGGCGGCUCACUGGCCCGGUACUGACGCUGAGGUGCGAAGGCGUGGGGAGCAAACAGGAUUAGAUACCCUGGUAGUCCACGCUGUAAACGAUGGAUGCUAGCCGUUGGUGGGUUUACCCUUCAGUGGCGCAGCUAACGCAUUAAGCAUCCCGCCUGGGGAGUACGGUCG
RNAcentral lists this ribosomal RNA (822 nucleotides) under uncultured bacterium. RNAcentral's name for it is "bacterial SSU rRNA". It matches the Rfam family "Bacterial small subunit ribosomal RNA", at positions 21 to 888 of the family's 1533-position model. The record is from RNAcentral.